This 246-nucleotide ribosomal RNA is filed under the name uncultured bacterium. RNAcentral's name for it is "partial 16S ribosomal RNA". It matches the Rfam family "Bacterial small subunit ribosomal RNA", at positions 116 to 354 of the family's 1533-position model. The record is from RNAcentral.
CGUAGGUAACCUGCCCCGGANCGGGGGAGUAACAUUUGGAACAGAUGCUAAUACCGCAUAACAAUAAAAGACCGCAUGGCUUUUAUUUGAAAGAUGGCUUUGGCUAUCACUCUGGGAUGGACCUGCGGUGCAUUAGCUAGUUGGUAAGGUAACGGCUUACCAAGGCGAUGAUGCAUAGCCGAGUUGAGAGACUGAUCGGCCACAAUGGAACUGAGACACGGUCCAUACUCCUACGGGAGGCAGCAG